GUAGUUAGCCGGGGCUUCCUCCUUGGCUACCGUCACUUUCUUCGUCACCAAGGACAGAGGUUUACAAUCCGAAGACCUUCUUCCCUCACGCGGCGUUGCUGGGUCAGGCUUGCGCCCAUUGCCCAAUAUUCCCCACUGCUGCCUCCCGUAGGAGUCUGGACCGUGUCUCAGUUCCAGUGUGGCCGAUCAGCCUCUCAGCUCGGCUACCCAUCGUUGGCUAGGUGGGCCGUUACCCCGCCUACUACCUAAUGGGACGCGAACCCCUCCUUCUGCGGAUUGCUCCUUUGACCCCUGAGCCAUGCGACUCUGUGGUCUUAUGCGGUAUUAGCACUUGUUUCCAGGUGUUAUCCCCCUCAAAAGGGCAGGUUGUUCACGCGUUACUCACCCGUUCGCCACUAGCUAUAAAUCCGAAAACCUAUAGCCCGUUCGACUUGCAUGUGUUAGGUCACGCCGCCACGCGUUCGUCCUGAGCACANACUACUACUACUACUACGUAGACGGCGGCGCGAGACGGCGAC
This 518-nucleotide ribosomal RNA is filed under the name uncultured bacterium. Its description in RNAcentral is "partial 16S ribosomal RNA". The record is from RNAcentral.